GAUGAACGCUGGCGGCGUGCCUAAUACAUGCAAGUCGAGCGAACGGACGAGAAGCUUGCUUCUCUGAUGUUAGCGGCGGACGGGUGAGUAACACGUGGAUAACCUACCUAUAAGACUGGGAUAACUUCGGGAAACCGGAGCUAAUACCGGAUGAUAUUUUGAACCGCAUGGUUCAAAAGUGAAAGACGGUCUUGCUGUCACUUAUAGAUGGAUCCGCGCUGCAUUAGCUAGUUGGUAAGGUAACGGCUUACCAAGGCAACGAUGCAUAGCCGACCUGAGAGUGUGAGCAGGCACACUGGAGCUGAGACACGGUCCAGACUCAUACGGGAGGCAGCCGUGGGGAAUAUUGUACAAUGGGCUCAAGCCUGAUCCAGCCAUACCGCGUGGGUAAAGAAGGCCUUCGGGUUGUAAAGCCCUUUUGUUGGGAAAGAAAAGCAGCAUGUUAAUAUCCCGCCGUUCGGACGGUACCCAAAGAAUAAGAACCGGCUAACUUCGUG
RNAcentral lists this ribosomal RNA (497 nucleotides) under uncultured bacterium. RNAcentral describes it as "partial 16S ribosomal RNA". It matches the Rfam family "Bacterial small subunit ribosomal RNA", at positions 28 to 507 of the family's 1533-position model. The record is from RNAcentral.